CGGUGAAGCAGAGCUUGCUCUGUGGAUCAGUGGCGAACGGGUGAGUAACACGUGAGCAACCUGCCCCUGACUCUGGGAUAAGCGCUGGAAACGGCGUCUAAUACUGGAUAUGAGCUGCGACCGCAUGGUCAGCAGUUGGAAAGAUUUUUCGGUCUGGGAUGGGCUCACGGCCUAUCAGCUUGUUGGUGAGGUAAUGGCUCACCAAGGCGUCGACGGGUAGCCGGCCUGAGAGGGUGACCGGCCACACUGGGACUGAGACACGGCCCAGACUCCUACGGGAGGCAGCAGUGGGGAAUAUUGCACAAUGGGCGAAAGCCUGAUGCAGCAACGCCGCGUGAGGGAUGACGGCCUUCGGGUUGUAAACCUCUUUUAGCAGGGAAGAAGCGAAAGUGACGGUACCUGCAGAAAAAGCGCCGGCUAACUACGUGCCAGCAGCCGCGGUAAUACGUAGGGCGCAAGCGUUAUCCGGAAUUAUUGGGCGUAAAGAGCUCGUAGGCGGUUUGUCGCGUCUGCUGUGAAAUCCCGAGGCUCAACCUCGGGUCUGCAGUGGGUACGGGCAGACUAGAGUGCGGUAGGGGAGAUUGGAAUUCCUGGUGUAGCGGUGGAAUGCGCAGAUAUCAGGAGGAACACCGAUGGCGAAGGCAGAUCUCUGGGCCGUUACUGACGCUGAGGAGCGAAAGGGUGGGGAGCAAACAGGCUUAGAUACCCUGGUAGUCCACCCCGUAAACGUUGGGAACUAGUUGUGGGGUCCAUUCCACGGAUUCCGUGACGCAGCUAACGCAUUAAGUUCCCCGCCUGGGGAGUACGGCCGCAAGGCUAAAACUCAAAGGAAUUGACGGGGACCCGCACAAGCGGCGGAGCAUGCGGAUUAAUUCGAUGCAACGCGAAGAACCUUACCAAGGCUUGACAUAUACGAGAACGGGCCAGAAAUGGUCAACUCUUUGGACACUCGUAAACAGGUGGUGCAUGGUUGUCGUCAGCUCGUGUCGUGAGAUGUUGGGUUAAGUCCCGCAACGAGCGCAACCCUCGUUCUAUGUUGCCAGCACGUAAUGGUGGGAACUCAUGGGAUACUGCCGGGGUCAACUCGGAGGAAGGUGGGGAUGACGUCAAAUCAUCAUGCCCCUUAUGUCUUGGGCUUCACGCAUGCUACAAUGGCCGGUACAAAGGGCUGCAAUACCGCGAGGUGGAGCGAAUCCCAAAAAGCCGGUCCCAGUUCGGAUUGAGGUCUGCAACUCGACCUCAUGAAGUCGGAGUCGCUAGUAAUCGCAGAUCAGCAACGC
RNAcentral lists this ribosomal RNA (1280 nucleotides) under Microbacterium sp. NRRL B-24868. RNAcentral's name for it is "bacterial SSU rRNA". It matches the Rfam family "Bacterial small subunit ribosomal RNA", at positions 67 to 1357 of the family's 1533-position model. Lineage: Bacteria; Bacillati; Actinomycetota; Actinomycetes; Micrococcales; Microbacteriaceae. The record is from RNAcentral.